Molecule: ribosomal RNA, 396 nt
Filed under: uncultured bacterium
Lineage: Bacteria
Description: partial 16S ribosomal RNA
Rfam family: Bacterial small subunit ribosomal RNA
Source: RNAcentral
AUACGUAGGUGGCAAGCGUUGUCCGGAUUUACUGGGUGUAAAGGGCGCGUAGGCGGGAUGGCAAGUCAGAUGUGAAAUCUCCGGGCUCAACCCGGAAACUGCAUUUGAAACUGUCGUUCUUGAGUAUCGGAGAGGCAAGCGGAAUUCCUAGUGUAGCGGUGAAAUGCGUGGAUAUUAGGUGGAACACCAGUGGCGAAGGCGGCUUGCUGGACGGCACAUGUCGUUGAGGCUCGAAAUGUUGGGGAGCAAACAGGUUAAGAUGCCCUGGUAGUCCACGCCGUAAACGAAGAAUACUAGGUGUGGGGGGACUGACCCCCUGCGUGCCGCAGUUAAUACAAUAAGCAUUCCGCCUGGGGAGUACAGCCGCAAGGUUGAAACUCAAAUGAAUUGACUGGG